GUGAGGCUUGGUAGAACAUUUCUCUUCCUUCUGUAUUUGAUAAGUAAGACUAAUGAAUAGAUCUGCCACCUCACUAACUGUAUAAGGAUAAAUAAGGUGGCAGAUUUUAAUAAAAUGAAGCCCUGGCAAAAGUAUCUGCUGGCAGCCCUGACAGCAAUGGCUUCAUCAGGACUUUUCUGUGUCACGCUGGAGUUGCUUGCUGCUGGGAACCCUGAUUCAUCCAGGCCCUCACUGGACACACAGCUCCAGCAGGGAUCCCUCCAGAGCACAGAGAACCAUCCCAGCCAUCCUGCUUCUACUGACGAAGCCUGGACCCAGAUUAACUCUCCUGAGUGACCAUGCCACACACCUGACUCACAUUAAAUUUAACGGUCAACUGAAACCCUCACACUUCUGGGGCAGGGACUCACUCCCUGGUCCAGGGAAUUUCUAGGAAAACAGACUUUAUGUAGUUCCUUAUUACUUGUUCAAUGGAAAAUGGUGUCUGAGCUUCCCCCCACCCCCAACCACGAUAUUUAAUGUAUGAGAGUGAUGCCUUUGAAGUGCUGAAAAAGUGCAGUCAUUCCCUUGACAAGGAAAGGGAGGAAUUAUGGAUGAAAUCCUGCCCCCUCCCUCCCCUGCAGCACAUGCUGUCGGAGUCUCAAGGUCACCCGGCAGCCGUCUCAGGCAGAUGCUUCUCUCUUCCCUCUUCACUAUCAAAGUGUUUUCAAGGGAACCACAGAAGGGACAGCUGCCUUUGAUUGUUCCCUUCUUGAUCCUCCUGGGUCCCUAACCACUCCCAGGGGUCUCCGUGAGUGCAGAAAGAGGCCUCAUAAAACAGCCUUAAAAUAAACAAGAAUUUUCUCCUUUUCUUCUACUGCCUGCCCUGAAGGAAAAAGGGAAAAGAAAAGCGAGGGAGAGGGUGGGUGUUUGAUGGCAGAGAGGAGAGUCCCUUAUGCAUCUUACAACA
Bos taurus (domestic cattle) is the source of this 949-nucleotide long non-coding RNA. NCBI's taxonomy places the organism in Eukaryota, Metazoa, Chordata, Mammalia, Artiodactyla, Bovidae. The record is from Ensembl.